AAUUAACGCUGGCAGAAUGCAUAACACAUGCAAGUCGAGCGGGGUGGCGGAUUAUCGCGCCUAGCGGCAAACGAGUGAGUAACACGUAAGCAACCUGCCCUUGAAUGGCGAACAACCCUCCGAAAGGAGAGCUAAUACGCCGUAUAAUCCUCUGAAGGCAUCUUCGGAGGCUGAUAGGCCCGCAAGGGUCAUUCAAGGAGGGGCUUGCGUCCCAUCAGCUAGUUGGCGGUGUAACGGACCACCAAGGCUAUGACGGGUACCCGGCCUGAAAGGGCGGACGGGCACGAAGGCACUGAGACACGGGCCUUACUCCUACGGGAGGCAGCAGUGGGGAAUUUUGGACAAUGGGCGAAAGCCUGAUCCAGCAAUUCUGCGUGAGGGACGAAGCCC
RNAcentral lists this ribosomal RNA (390 nucleotides) under uncultured bacterium. RNAcentral's name for it is "bacterial SSU rRNA". It matches the Rfam family "Bacterial small subunit ribosomal RNA", at positions 29 to 416 of the family's 1533-position model. The record is from RNAcentral.